This 253-nucleotide ribosomal RNA is filed under the name uncultured Gammaproteobacteria bacterium. RNAcentral describes it as "partial 16S ribosomal RNA". It matches the Rfam family "Bacterial small subunit ribosomal RNA", at positions 524 to 776 of the family's 1533-position model. Lineage: Bacteria; Pseudomonadati; Pseudomonadota; Gammaproteobacteria. The record is from RNAcentral.
UACGGAGGGUGCAAGCGUUAAUCGGAAUUACUGGGCGUAAAGCGCGCGUAGGCGGUUUGUUAAGUCGGAUGUGAAAGCCCCGGGCUCAACCUGGGAACUGCAUACGAUACUGGCAAGCUAGAGUGCAAUAGAGGGGGGUAGAAUUCCAUGUGUAGCGGUGAAAUGCGUAGAGAUGUGGAGGAAUACCGGUGGCGAAGGCGGCCCCCUGGACAAAGACUGACGCUCAGGUGCGAAAGCGUGGGGAGCAAACAGG